RNAcentral lists this unclassified non-coding RNA (316 nucleotides) under Hevea brasiliensis (rubber tree). Lineage: Eukaryota; Viridiplantae; Streptophyta; Magnoliopsida; Malpighiales; Euphorbiaceae. The record is from RNAcentral.
UCCGUCAGAGAAACACAAAAUUAUCAAAAAUUUUGAAUUCGCGCUUCUCCGCACCCGCUCUGCUAUAAAUUAAUUCCAAAUCCAAUAUCCACCAUCACUUUCACUGAAAUCAAGCACUACUCAUAAGCAUUUCUCAUUUCACCUUCUCCUUUCUCCAACAAGAGCGGUGUACAUGGCUCGCACCAAGCAGACUGCCAGGAAAUCUACAGGAGGUAAGGCUCCCAGGAAGCAGCUGGCAACAAAGGCAGCUCGUAAGUCAGCACCAGCCACCGGCGGUGUGAAGAAGCCUCACCGUUUCAGGCCUGGAACUGUCGCC